AGUGAACGCUGGCGGUAGGCCUAACACAUGCAAGUCGAACGGCAGCACAGUAAGAGCUUGCUCUUACGGGUGGCGAGUGGCGGACGGGUGAGGAAUACAUCGGAAUCUACUUUUUCGUGGGGGAUAACGUAGGGAAACUUACGCUAAUACCGCAUACGACCUACGGGUGAAAGCAGGGGAUCUUCGGACCUUGCGCGAUUGAAUGAGCCGAUGUCGGAUUAGCUAGUUGGCGGGGUAAAGGCCCACCAAGGCGACGAUCCGUAGCUGGUCUGAGAGGAUGAUCAGCCACACUGGAACUGAGACACGGUCCAGACUCCUACGGGAGGCAGCAGAGGGGAAUAUUGGACAAUGGGCGCAAGCCUGAUCCAGCCAUACCGCGUGGGUGAAGAAGGCCUUCGGGUUGUAAAGCCCUUUUGUUGGGAAAGAAAAGCAGCAGGUUAAUACCCCGCUGUUCUGACGGUACCCAAAGAAUAAGCACCGGCUAACUUCGU
RNAcentral lists this ribosomal RNA (491 nucleotides) under uncultured bacterium. Its description in RNAcentral is "partial 16S ribosomal RNA". It matches the Rfam family "Bacterial small subunit ribosomal RNA", at positions 29 to 506 of the family's 1533-position model. The record is from RNAcentral.